This 468-nucleotide ribosomal RNA is filed under the name uncultured bacterium. RNAcentral describes it as "partial 16S ribosomal RNA". It matches the Rfam family "Bacterial small subunit ribosomal RNA", at positions 28 to 507 of the family's 1533-position model. The record is from RNAcentral.
GACGAACGCUGGCGGCGUGCUUAACACAUGCAAGUCGAACGGAAAGGCCCUGCUUUUGUGUGGUGCUCGAGUGGCGAACGGGUGAGUAACACGUGAGUAACCUGCCCUUGACUUUGGGAUAACUUCAGGAAACUGGGGCUAAUACCGGAUAGGAGCUCCUGCUGCAUGGUGGGGGUUGGAAAGUUUCGGCGGUUGGGGAUGGACUCGCGGCUUAUCAGCUUGUUGGUGGGGUAGUGGCUUACCAAGGCGUUGACGGGUAGCCGGCCUGAGAGGGUGACCGGCGACAUUGGGACUGAGAGACGGCCCAGACUCCUACGGGAGGCAGCAGUGGGGAAUAUUGCACAAUGGGCGGAAGCCUGAUGCAGCAACGCCGCGUGCGGGAUGACGGCCUUCGGGUUGUAAACCGCUUUCGCCUGUGACGAAGCGUGAGUGACGGUAAUGGGUAAAGAAGCACCGGCUAACUACGUG